GGAAGGGAGAUACCAUGAUCAAGAAGGUGGUUCACCCAGGGCAAGGCUCAGUCGUUGCACUCUAGGUUGUGCUGACCCCUUUUUUUGAACUGUAAUGAAUGCACACUUC
This is a small nuclear RNA of Parambassis ranga (Indian glassy fish), 109 nucleotides long. Its record names the gene U1. It matches the Rfam family "U1 spliceosomal RNA". Rfam says of the family: U1 is a small nuclear RNA (snRNA) component of the spliceosome (involved in pre-mRNA splicing). Its 5' end forms complementary base pairs with the 5' splice junction, thus defining the 5' donor site of an intron. There are significant differences in sequence and secondary structure between metazoan and yeast U1 snRNAs, the latter being much longer (568 nucleotides as compared to 164 nucleotides in human). NCBI's taxonomy places the organism in Eukaryota, Metazoa, Chordata, Actinopteri, Ambassidae. The record is from Ensembl.